Molecule: long non-coding RNA, 446 nt
Organism: Rhinolophus ferrumequinum (greater horseshoe bat)
Lineage: Eukaryota; Metazoa; Chordata; Mammalia; Chiroptera; Rhinolophidae
Exons: 2
Source: RefSeq, a predicted model, not a curated record
ACCCCCGAUGCAGCUUCCCAGGGGACCAUGCCCGCUGGGUCCCCUCGCUCACUGUGCCCUCUCCAAGCCAUCCAGAUGCCCGUGGAAGAAGCGCUAUCCACUCUGUACAGAAACAUCCUCUGGGUCCUUAAGACAAACACAGAGCAACACACAGAUGGACCAAGGGAUGGUGGCCAAACCACCACUUACAAUGCAAACGAAGCUUUCGCUUCUCCUGCUGAUCGUUUAUUUCAGGGAUUCCUCUGAGAUAUUGCGGGUUUAGUUCCAGACCACCACAAAAGGAACAAUAAAGUGAGUCGUCCUGUUUUUGCUGGUAGAAGAUCUUGCCUUCAAUUUGUAAAAAAACACAACAUCUGAGAAGUGCAAUGAAGUGAAACUCAAUAAAACGAGGUAUGCCUGUAUUCUGAGAUAAUUAUAAAUGCAAAGAAAGAUGCAAAAAAAAAAAA